CCCUACGGGGCGCAGCAGGCGCGAAAACUUUACAAUGCGAGAAAUCGUGAUAAGGGAACCCCGAGUGCCCGUAAAUUCGGGCUGUUAAUCUGUGUAAAAAGCAGGUGGAGAAAGGGCCGGGCAAGACCGGUGCCAGCCGCCGCGGUAAUACCGGCGGCUCGAGUGGUGGCCACUAUUACUGGGCUUAAAGCGUCCGUAGCUGGAUUGUUAAGUCUCUUGGGAAAUCUACCGGCUUAACCGAUAGGCGUUCAAGGGAUACUGGCAAUCUAGGGACCGGGAGAGGUGAGAGGUACUCCAGGGGUAGGAGUGAAAUCCUGUAAUCC
Molecule: ribosomal RNA, 323 nt
Filed under: uncultured archaeon
Lineage: Archaea
Description: bacterial SSU rRNA
Rfam family: Archaeal small subunit ribosomal RNA
Source: RNAcentral